GAUGAACGCUAGCUACAGGCUUAACACAUGCAAGUCGAGGGGAAACGGCGUUGAGUGCUUGCACUCUUCGGACGUCGAUCGGCGCACGGGUGAGUAACGCGUAUCCAACCUUCCCAUGACCGGGGGAUAACCUGCCGAAAGGCAGACUAAUACCCCAUGGUCUUCACUGACGGCAUCAUAUGUGAAGUAAAGAUUCAUCGGUCAUGGAUGGGGAUGCGUCUGAUUAGCUUGUUGGCGGGGUAACGGCCCACCAAGGCUACGAUCAGUAGGGGUUCUGAGAGGAAGGUCCCCCACAUUGGAACUGAGACACGGUCCAAACUCCUACGGGAGGCAGCAGUGAGGAAUAUUGGUCAAUGGGCGCAAGCCUGAACCAGCCAAGUAGCGUGCAGGAUGACGGCCCUAUGGGUUGUAAACUGCUUUUGUACGGGGAUAAAACGGCGGACGUGUCCGUCCUUGCAGGUACCGUACGAAUAAGGACCGGCUAAUUCCGUGCCAGCAGCCGCGGUAAUACGGAAGGUCCGGGCGUUAUCCGGAUUUAUUGGGUUUAAAGGGAGCGUAGGCCGGGGAUUAAGUGUGUUGUGAAGAUGUAGACGCUCAACGUCUGACUUGCAGCGCAUACUGGUUCCCUUGAGUACGCACAACGUCGGCGGAAUUCGUCGUGUAGCGGUGAAAUGCUUAGAUAUGACGAAGAACUCCGAUUGCGAAGGCAGCUGACGGGGGCGCAACUGACGCUUAAGCUCGAAGGUGCGGGUAUCGAACAGGAUUAGAUACCCUGGUAGUCCGCACGGUAGACGAUGGAUGCCCGCUGUUGGUACCUGGUAUCAGCGGCUAAGCGACAGCAUAAAGCAUCCCACCUGGGGAGUACGCCUGCAACGGUGACACUCAAACGAAUUGACGGGGGCCCGCACAAGCGGAGGAGCAUGUGGUUUACUCCUAUGAUACGCGAGGAACCUUACCCGGGGCUUGAAAUUGCAGGGAGACGAAUACAGAGAAUGAUAGAUGGGUCCGUUCGGGCAACCUCCCUGUUG
RNAcentral lists this ribosomal RNA (1028 nucleotides) under Prevotella sp. oral taxon 782. Its description in RNAcentral is "bacterial SSU rRNA". It matches the Rfam family "Bacterial small subunit ribosomal RNA", at positions 28 to 1037 of the family's 1533-position model. Lineage: Bacteria; Pseudomonadati; Bacteroidota; Bacteroidia; Bacteroidales; Prevotellaceae. The record is from RNAcentral.